AUUGAACGCUGGCGGCAGGCCUAACACAUGCAAGUCGAACGGUAACAGGAAACAGCUUGCUGUUUCGCUGACGAGUGGCGGACGGGUGAGUAAUGUCUGGGAAACUGCCUGAUGGAGGGGGAUAACUACUGGAAACGGUAGCUAAUACCGCAUAACGUCGCAAGACCUAAGUGGGGGACUCUUGGGCCUCUUGCCAUCGGAUGUGCCUAGAUGGGAUUAGCUUGUUGGUGGGGUAACGGCUCCCCAAGGCGACGAUCCGUAGCUGGUCUGAGAAGAUGACCAGCCACACUGGAACUUAGAAACGGUCCAGACUCCUACGGGAGGCAGCAUUGGGAAAUAGUGCACAAUGGGCGCAAGCCUGAUGCAGCCAUGCCGCGUGUAUGAAGAAGGCCUUCGGGUUGUAAAGUACUUUCAGCGGGGAGGAAGGGAGUAAAGUUAAUACCUUUGCUCAUUGACGUUACCCGCAGAAGAAGCACCGGCUAACUCCGUG
RNAcentral lists this ribosomal RNA (490 nucleotides) under uncultured bacterium. Its description in RNAcentral is "partial 16S ribosomal RNA". It matches the Rfam family "Bacterial small subunit ribosomal RNA", at positions 30 to 507 of the family's 1533-position model. The record is from RNAcentral.